AAACAUUGCUCCUUGAUUCAGCGGCGGACGGGUGAGUAAUGCCUAGGAAUCUGCCUGGUAGUGGGGGACAACGUUUCGAAAGGAACGCUAAUACCGCAUACGUCCUACGGGAGAAAGCAGGGGACCUUCGGGCCUUGCGCUAUCAGAUGAGCCUAGGUCGGAUUAGCUAGUAGGUGAGGUAAUGGCUCACCUAGGCGACGAUCCGUAACUGGUCUGAGAGGAUGAUCAGUCACACUGGAACUGAGACACGGUCCAGACUCCUACGGGAGGCAGCAGUGGGGAAUAUUGGACAAUGGGCGAAAGCCUGAUCCAGCCAUGCCGCGUGUGUGAAGAAGGUCUUCGGAUUGUAAAGCACUUUAAGUUGGGAGGAAGGGCAGUAAGUUAAUACCUUGCUGUUUUGACGUUACCGACAGAAUAAGCACCGGCUAACUCUGUGCCAGCAGCCGCGGUAAUACAGAGGGUGCAAGCGUUAAUCGGAAUUACUGGGCGUAAAGCGCGCGUAGGUGGUUCGUUAAGUUGGAUGUGAAAGCCCCGGGCUCAACCUGGGAACUGCAUCCAAAACUGGCGAGCUAGAGUAUGGUAGAGGGUGGUGGAAUUUCCUGUGUAGCGGUGAAAUGCGUAGAUAUAGGAAGGAAACACCAGUGGCGAAGGCGACCACCUGGACUGAUACUGA
Molecule: ribosomal RNA, 673 nt
Filed under: Pseudomonas mosselii
Lineage: Bacteria; Pseudomonadati; Pseudomonadota; Gammaproteobacteria; Pseudomonadales; Pseudomonadaceae
Description: bacterial SSU rRNA
Rfam family: Bacterial small subunit ribosomal RNA
Source: RNAcentral